This 209-nucleotide ribosomal RNA is filed under the name uncultured bacterium. RNAcentral describes it as "partial 16S ribosomal RNA". It matches the Rfam family "Bacterial small subunit ribosomal RNA", at positions 524 to 732 of the family's 1533-position model. The record is from RNAcentral.
UACGAAGGGGGCUAGCGUUGUUCGGAAUUACUGGGCGUAAAGCGCACGUAGGCGGAUCGGCAAGUUGGGGGUGAAAUCCCGGGGCUCAACCCCGGAACUGCCUUUGAUACUGCUGGUCUGGAGGAUGAGAGAGGAGAGUGGAAUUCCGAGUGUAGAGGUGAAGUGCGUAGAUAUUCGGAGGAACACCGGUGGCGAAGGCGGCUCGCUGG